This 791-nucleotide small RNA is filed under the name Pan troglodytes (chimpanzee). RNAcentral describes it as "retained intron". Lineage: Eukaryota; Metazoa; Chordata; Mammalia; Primates; Hominidae. The record is from RNAcentral.
GGGGAGGGGAAAACCCUGGGGUAGACGUCCAUAUCUAUAUGUACACCUUUGAUGACUUUCUUAGGAGAAAUUCCUAGAUAUGGAAUUGUGGGUCAAAGGCUUCUGCACAUUUUAAAAUCUUUGAGUAUACAAUAUUGCUAAAAUGAUCUCCCAGAAAUCUUUCACCAUUUUACCCUCACAGAGGUCAAAUGGAAUUUCUUUUGUUGCUCCAUGUUUUGCUAGCAAUUGGUAGCAAAGUUAGAACAAGGAGCAUGGAUGAUUUUUUUCCUACUGGUUCAAAAAACUAUACCUUUUUAUUUAAAACUUAAAAAUGUAUAAAUUUCACUUAAAACUGCAGAUACAGUGGUCCACACUCUGGACCGCAGCUUUAACCAAAAUGAAAACUUCCAGAAACUCCAUUGCAGCCCUUACUAUUGAAGGAGCAUGCUCUCCUGGCACAGGGGUUUCUACGUCAAGUGUGUCUCUGUUGCAGGGGGGAAACACUGCCUUGCACCUCGCUGCGAAGCAUGGUCACAGUCCUGCAGUGCAGGUGCUGCUAGCCCAGUGGCAAGACAUAAAUGAGAUGAAUGAGCUCAAUAUCAGUAGUUUGCAGAUAGCAACCAGGAACGGCCAUGCAUCCCUUGUCAACUUUCUUCUCAGUGAGAACGUUGAUCUGCACCAGAAAGUGGAACCUAAGGAGUCCCCUCUUCAUUUAGCUGUUAUCAACAACCACAUCACGGUUGUAAACAGUUUAUUAAGUGCACAGCAUGAUAUUGACAUCUUAAAUCAGAAGCAGCAAACCCCUCUGCAUG